GAUGAAGAACGUAGCGAAAUGCGAUAAGUAAUGUGAAUUGCAGAAUUCAGUGAAUCAUCGAAUCUUUGAACGCACAUUGCGCCCCCUGGUAUUCCGGGGGGCAUGCCUGUUCGAGCGUCAUUUCACCACUCAAGCCUCGCUUGGUAUUGGGCAACGCGGUCCGCCGCGUGCCUCAAAUCGACCGGCUGGGUCUUCUGUCCCCUAAGCGUUGUGGAAACUAUUCGCUAAAGGGUGUUCGGGAGGCUACGCCGUAAAACAACCCCGUUUCUAAGGUUGACCUCGGAUCAGGUAGGGAUACCCGCUGAAUUUAAGCAUAUCAAUAAGCGGAGGA
This 331-nucleotide unclassified non-coding RNA is filed under the name soil metagenome. RNAcentral's name for it is "partial contains 5.8S ribosomal RNA, internal transcribed spacer 2, and large subunit ribosomal RNA". The stretch from base 1 to 120 matches the Rfam family "5.8S ribosomal RNA", at positions 35 to 154 of the family's 154-position model. The record is from RNAcentral.